This 489-nucleotide ribosomal RNA is filed under the name uncultured bacterium. RNAcentral's name for it is "bacterial SSU rRNA". It matches the Rfam family "Bacterial small subunit ribosomal RNA", at positions 8 to 507 of the family's 1533-position model. The record is from RNAcentral.
AGAGUUUGAUCAUGGCUCAGGACGUACGCUGGCGGCGUAGCUUAACACAUGCAAGUCGAACGGUGACCCAGGGCUUGCCCUGGUGAUCAGUGGCGAACGGGUGAGUAACACGUGGGCAACCUGCCCUGACUUCGGGAUAACUCCUCCGAAAGAGGAGCUAAUACCGGAUACGACCACUUCGGACAUCCGAUGGUGGUGGAAAGUUUUUCGGUCAGGGACUGGGCCCGCGGCCUAUCAGCUAGUUGGUGGGGUAAUGGCCUACCAAGGCGACGUUACGGGUAGCCGGCCUGAGAGGGCGACCGGCCACACUGGGACUGAGACACGGCCCAGACUCCUACGGGAGGCAGCAGUGGGGAAUAUUGCGCAAUGGCGAAAGCCUGACGCAGCGACGCCGCGUGAGGGAUGAAGGCCUUCGGGUUGUAAACCUCUUUCAGCAGGGACGAAGCGAAAGUGACGGUACCUGCAGAAGAAGCACCGGCUAACUACGUG